This 354-nucleotide ribosomal RNA is filed under the name Candidatus Kaiserbacteria bacterium CG10_big_fil_rev_8_21_14_0_10_45_20. Its description in RNAcentral is "bacterial SSU rRNA". It matches the Rfam family "Bacterial small subunit ribosomal RNA", at positions 1 to 387 of the family's 1533-position model. Lineage: Bacteria; Candidatus Kaiseribacteriota. The record is from RNAcentral.
UUUACUUAGAGUUUGAUCCUAGCUCAGGGUGAACGCUGGCGGCGUGGAUAAGGCAUGCAAGUCGAGUGGGUUUAGACCCACGGCGAACGAGGUAGUAACGUGUAGGUAUCUGCCCUCAAGUCAGGAAUAUCCCAUCGAAAGAUGGAGCAAUACUUGAUAGUCUCUACGGAGUAAAGAUUUAUCGCUUGAGGAAGAGCCUGCCUAAUAUCAGCUUGUUGGUAAGGUAACGGCUUACCAAGGCUAUGACGUUUAGGGGAGCUGAGAGGCUGACCCCCACCGACGGAACUGAGACACGGUCCGUACCUCUACGGAGGGCAGCAGCCGAGAAUAUUCCGCAAUGGACGAAAGUCUGAC